UGCAUGCCAGCUGACUUUCUGUCACCCACACUGACCCUCUCAAUACUGUAUGCUGAGCUCCACUAACUCCCAUACUGUGUAAUUGAUGGAGUGGAACAAACUUCACAGCAAGUUAAAUGCAGACUUUAUUCAAGCUCCAAGGGACUUGGAAAGACGUUCAGCCCAGUCAGCCCAGAUGAGCCCACCUCUGUGAGCCCCUUGAUUUGGAAUGGCGGCUUGUAUGUCUGUGUCAACAGGAAGCUCACUGCAUUGUGACUCAGGUAAGCCCUGGACCAAGCCACAAAGGUAGCAAGAUUGGUUUUCGGAGUUUCUCAUAGGCUGUUCUUCUUGCCUUCUGUCACACUCACUCCAUCAGGGCCUGUUCGCUGCCCAGAUGAGCCACACACAUCGGCUGGAUGAAAUGAAACUUGCCCUUCUUGUCCUACAUGUCUGUAUCUAAAAGUAUACAUUUUGGAAAGAGGCCUUAUUAAUCUAAAUACUUUUUAUUUUAAGGUUCCACAUUUUCCCAAAUGUAUGAGCCUCUAACCUAAGACAUGUCCAAAAGUUCUUUACUUACAGGGACAUGAUCUAGGGGCUUAGAGGGCCCUGGAAAAGUCAGAUAAUAUAUUUUAAAGACCCAAUUUUACACAAAAGAACAAAAAGAGGAAGAACUAUAGCAGAAUGCCACCGCUGUGGAUUCAGACUUCACCUCCCUGCCCACGGAGAUGAUUGAAGGGGAAAAAGGACAGAACAUGAAACUAACAAGCUUGAGGCCUUAUCAGUGUCUAUAUUGGCAAAUUGAGGAGCGAUGCACUCCCCAAGUUCCAGGAAGUGUUUACGAGUCAGCGCGUGAUUUCCUGUGCUCACGCCCAUGGCUGCCACAUCUGGGGAAGCAUGUGUUGACGUGGAGCUGCCACAAGAUCAGCACCUCCUGGAGUGAUGGGCUGCAGCCCCGAGAAGGUGGCCCUGGAGAGUUCUGGGAGCCAAAGCAAAAGUGGCAUGAACAAGAAAUACAUUUUGCUGUGCCACAUCAGCUGAAUGUUUUUCUACCAAUGCAUAAGAUCUACCAGCCACAGACAGGCACUGUUUUUAGAUGGUCUUGAGGCAUCUCAUUUUACAAAGGAUAUAGAAACAGACGGAUGCUAUAUAGAAACUGGUGGAGUGGGGUGGAAGAGAAGACAGAAGACAAGGGUUAUAAUUUAAUCAUAUAAACUCUGGAUGCAAUAACCAAGGUCUCCCCAGAAAGCUGUCAGUGUAUACUUGUGUGGUGAGUAGAUUUCUAAUCAGCUCUAGAAGGGUGGCCAAACACAGCUAAACUGUGUCUUUUAGUAGCAGGAAAAGCAUCUGCUAUAGUUUAGAUGUUUGUCCCCCAAACUCCAUAUUGAAAUUUGACCCCCAAUAUUGGAGGGGGGCCUAAGGGGAGGUGUUUGGAUCCUGAGGACAGAUCCCUCAUGAAUGUCUUGGUACUGUCCUGGCAGUGAAGAGUGAGUUCUCACACUAUCAGCUCCCUUGAGAAACUGGUUGUCAUAACAAGCCUGGCACUCCCCAUCCCCUCACCACGUGCUCUCUGCACACACGAGCUUCCAUUCACUUUUCAUCGUGUAUGGAACCAACCCGAGGACCUCAUUGGAAAGAGAGUGGAUGCUGGCACCAUGCUUCUUGUUCAGCCUGCAGAACUGGGAGACAACAUAAACCUCUUUCCUUUAUAACUUACCCAGACUUGAGUAUUUCUUUGUAGCAAUACAAACAGACAAAGCAUCUGACAAGCAAGUUGUUCAAUGAAGAGAUUGUUAGAGCCUGGGGAAGAGUCAUCAUGUUCAAUUGGUACAAGAUGCAAUUAACUAAUAUGAUUUGGGACAGCUGUCUCCAUUGAGGUCACCAGGGUGUCAUGGAGUGAAGCUUCAGGAGGAAGAGCUGACUACUUCCUACCCUGGGCUCCAUUUUUGUCAGGGCUCUACAGAGAGACAGAACCGACAAGAUAUAAAAAGAGGAAUAAAACAAAAAUCCAGAUAUUUCUAUAAAUCCGAUUAUUUGCCAAAUUAAAUGUGAAAGCUUGCCUCUAUCUCUUUCCAUUGUGUGCAGAUAUUUUGCACAGUGUGGAUUUGGUCUCUAGAUGUGAGUGUGCCCUGGACACAAUGCAUAGUAGACAGACAUUGUGCUUCGUUGUAGACACUGUGCUAGGCACGUAUUACACAUUGCCCCAAAUCCUUAUCACAAACACAUCAGGAGUAUGAUGGCCAAGGAGGAAGCUGUGGCUCAGGCCAUUGAAGCUGUAUAUCCAGGGAUCAACAGCCAGUAAGUGGGUGUGCUGACUCCCAAGGCCAAAGCCCACCUACUUGCCAGGUAACUUUCUAGGGAUAUGAAGGCAUUCUAUGUUAUGAUGGUGUGUGUUACAUGAGUGUAUCUGUCUACCAAAAGUGCGCUUCCAUGAUUUAUGCAAUCAGAUAUGGGAUAUAAUGGUAACUCAUGUUUUUACCCAAGGAUUUUUUUAUCACCAUAAAACAUCACUUCUACUCAGCUUUAUUCUAAUGAUUUGAGGCAGAGUUUAAAAAUCUGUCAAAAUUAAAUAUAUUUUUAACAAAGUGAAGACAUCUAGACAAACAGACAAUGGGGUAGGAAAGAUGGAGCUAAAACCAGGGCUGAGUUUCAUUCACAGAUGGCUCGAGGUCCUACUCAAUUACUAGAAAUGGGCUAAAUAUUCACCUCUAAGCUUUCCAAUAAGCAACACAGUAGGAACAAUAUCAACGCAAUAGGCCUCAGAGUCCAUGAGAAAUAAACUAAACAGUUGCUUAGGGAAAGCAGAGCUAUUUCUGGUAAGAAACUCAGAGAGAGUUUUCCUUUGAGUCUUCAUAAAGAAGACACUCUUUGAUGUAAGGCGCAGCAUUAACUACAUUCUUAUACAAGUUUUAAAGGCUAAAUCUCAUAAAAUCGUUUAAUAUAGGCCAUAACACCAAGCAGCAAAAAUAGAGAACUAGAGGAUGGGGAGAUGGAAUUUGCUGUGUUUGGAAACUAAUACGAUUAUUGGUUUUCUGUGUUCUCACUUAAUCCAGGGUUUUAAGGAAUCUAGAGGAAAAUCAGGAUUGAUGUUUUUCAUUAGUGCGUUUUCUUACAACUAAAGCUCUUGAACGCUCUGGGUGGUGGGGAGUUUGGGUUGCACUUGGCUUGUGAUGAGUUUCCCAGGGAGCCAUGCACUUCUCAGCUGGACCACCUGAGCACACCACCAGGAAAAGCUUUUGGGUAACCCCGGAGGCAGGAAAAUUUCCUAUGGGUGCUUUAUUCAGCUGUAGUCCUAUAAUCAGCCUUUCACAUAAUUUGAUAGAACUGACCAAUGUGAAAUGAAACUGUUAAUAAGAUCCCAAACUCUCCAGAGAAGAGGACUCUCUAUGGCUAGUAGAAACACCCAAAUUAAAAUAAUGGAAACCCAAUGGCCAUAGUUAGAGAAGGGUGGUCACGUGCCUUUUGUUUCUGAAGAGGGCAGUUCCAAACAAAUAUGCUGUCUGUGCCUCUGAGCUAAGACAGUUCUUGUAAAGGGAGCUGAGGCACCAUGGCUGGAAAUCUCCAACCAGCCUGAAAGGGCAUCCAAUAGACACUUAUGGUUUGGGGUUUAGAAAGUAACCCCAAACAGUCAGGACUGUUAUUUUCAACCAAUCAGAAUUGAAUGUGUUCAAAUCAUUCAUUUACAUAUACAGACCUGAUUGAAGACUGUGACAGGAAUUUUCCUUAUUUAAGCCAGACCCUUUCUUUGUUCUCCAGAAUGUGCUUUUGUUUUCCACCAAAGCCUGUGUCUUCCCGAUACCUAGAUUGUUUUCUAUUUAAUAAAAAAUAAAGUUCUCAACUUUUCC
This 3821-nucleotide long non-coding RNA is filed under the name Pan troglodytes (chimpanzee). RNAcentral's name for it is "lncRNA (ENSPTRG00000053560.1)". The record is from RNAcentral. Lineage: Eukaryota; Metazoa; Chordata; Mammalia; Primates; Hominidae.